AUGAACGCUGGCGGCGUGCCUAAUACAUGCAAGUCGCGCGAACAGACGAGGAGCUUGCUCCUCUGACGUUAGCGGCGGACGGGUGAGUAACACGUGGAUAACCUACCUAUAAGCCUGGGAUAACUUCGGGAAACCGGAGCUAAUACCGGAUAAUAUAUUGAACCGCAUGGUUCAAUAGUGAAAGACGGUUUUGCUGUCACUUAUAGAUGGAUCCGCGCCGCAUUAGCUAGUUGGUAAGGUAACGGCUUACCAAGGCGACGAUGCGUAGCCGACCUGAGAGGGUGAUCGGCCACACUGGAACUGAGACACGGUCCAGACUCCUACGGGAGGCAGCAGUAGGGAAUCUUCCGCAAUGGGCGAAAGCCUGACGGAGCAACGCCGCGUGAGUGAUGAAGGUCUUCGGAUCGUAAAACUCUGUUAUUAGGGAAGAACAAAUGUGUAAGUAACUAUGCACGUCUUGACGGUACCUAAUCAGAAAGCCACGGCUAACUACGUG
RNAcentral lists this ribosomal RNA (496 nucleotides) under uncultured bacterium. Its description in RNAcentral is "partial 16S ribosomal RNA". It matches the Rfam family "Bacterial small subunit ribosomal RNA", at positions 29 to 507 of the family's 1533-position model. The record is from RNAcentral.